RNAcentral lists this unclassified non-coding RNA (3678 nucleotides) under Dendronephthya gigantea. RNAcentral describes it as "transient receptor potential cation channel subfamily A member 1-like, transcript variant X4". The record is from RNAcentral. Lineage: Eukaryota; Metazoa; Cnidaria; Anthozoa; Malacalcyonacea; Nephtheidae.
UUACAAAUGCUAUAUGACUUUGAAUGUCAGCAACAUAAUAUCUUUCGAAGAGUAAAAUUAACAAUGGAAGAAUCGACAAGCGGGGCGAAUAAAAUUACAGAAGAUGAUAUCAACGGAAAUGGUAACACCACGGUUCGAAAAUCCGAAAAAACACAGGAUGAUACUCAUGAUAGGCGGGAAAUAGUUAGCGAAGCGGAACAGGAAAUGCGUAACAGACGUCUUGACGCAAUAACGGUAAAAACUACCACUAGGUCUUGCGCUGCGCUUGAAGUGGCAGCUGGAGUAGAAAAGAAUAAAGUAUUCCCCAUCAAAGCUGAACGUGUAUUUGCUUAUGAAAGCGAUUCUCGGUUAGAAACGCCUGAAAAAAGUCCUGCAGAAGUAGAGUUGUCUCAACGACCAAUUGUUCGAUUGGAUGAAUUUAUUUUGUCUGCCGCUGCAAAAAAAGAAGAGGAAAGGCCAUUUCCUGUUCAAAAAGGUCCAACACCCCGUUAUCUCUGGGAUGAUUUCGGUGAAGAUUUUGAUGCUCAGCAGGCUUUAUCUGAUGCAGCCAACAUAGAAGAAAAAAGACCAUUUAUUGUAAGGCAAGAAAGCGUGGAGGAAACUGAAAAGGAACGCAUUCCAUUGAUGAAGAAUAACGAGAAAACAGGAUAUAACCAAAAAUUGUUAACAAUGCGAACCAGAAAUACGAAUAUGGUCUAUACUCUCUAUUUGACGCACAGUGAACAAACACAAAAUGCACAAUCAGAAUUUAUGCAAAAGAAAACUCCUGAGUCUUCGUCACCGUCGAAAACCUCACUACGAAAAGGGAUAUCUUACUCUGAAGAUAAAUCUAAGAUUGCACUCAUACGUAAGGCAGAGGAAAAAUUUUUCACAAGUAGUACAUCUGGACACAAGGUUGAUGAAAAAACUGUGAUGAGAUACUGCGAUAUCGCAACGGCAAUAUAUCUUGACGAUGAUCUGAACCUGAGCAGAUUUCUUACUAAUGAACUGAAGCACAGCGAGGAAAUCCAACGUCGUAUACUAGAAGCAGUCGAGCUGAACAGUUUGAAGUGUUUGUUGGUGCUCUGUGACACUUAUGAAAAACUUCCCAGUACAACAGAGGAAGAUGUCCAUUUGUUUCACCGCCGCUACGGGCUCUCUUCUUGGCCAUUGAAUGAACGCCCCAAAGAGUCAGCUGUUCACCUCGUUGCAAACAAACUUACGUCCAUUAAAGCGAUGAAGGUUUUAGAAAAGCAUCCGAGAUUCCUGGAUGAAUUUUCAGACAUUCCGGACAGUCAUGGCUCUUCUCCACUUCUUUUGGCGAUCAAAUGCAACAAUAUGGAGGUGGUGAAGCGAUUGCUCGCUAGAAAACCAGACUUAAACAAGCGAAAUAAACAUAAUGAAACGCCUAUUCUUGUGGCGGCCUUAAACGACGAUGCAGAUGUUAUAAAAGAAAUGCUGGAGAUAUAUCCUGAAACUGAACUUCUUGAAAUCAUGAGAAACAUUGAUGGAAAGGGCCAUUCAAUACUUUAUCCUGCCUCUCAAAGCGGUAAACCAGAAGUACUUAACCUCAUUAUGAAGCGAGGCUGGUGGCCCGAUUUUUUGGAUCAAGAGAAGAAAAUGUUUGAAAAAUGGGAAUCGUUUGUGUGCAAUGUUUGUUCAACCGGGUGUAAAGAACUUGCAGAAACAAUAUUCAAACAAAAUCCCAAACUUCUUGAACCAGAAGGUGACAAGUUUACCCCUCUUAUGAGUGCGGCCAAAGCAAACCAAUUGGAGAUUGUCCAGCUUAUCUUCGAAUUCAGGGCGGAUUAUAGUCUUUUUAUGACUUGUGAUGGAAAAGGCAGGAAUGUCUUUCACUAUUCCGUUGAAAACCCAGAUAUUCUACGUUAUCUUCUUGAACAGUACGAAAAGGUCAGCAUUGAUAAACAUGAUGUUAAUAAAAUGGACAACUUGGAAAACACUCCAAUAAAACUUGCCGCAGUUAGAAAAUUGAAAGAGAGUUUCAAAAUUCUCUUGCAAUUCACGACAAGUGAAGCGGAUAUAUUUUCAGCUCAUCUUAUUCAUAAUGUGGACUUUGAGGUUUUGAAGAUGGGUCUUCUUAUCUGGAAGGAAAAGGACCCCGAAGCAGUAGCUUGUCUGCUAAAUGGCGAUCACAAGCAACAUCAACCGUUUUUGGAAGCUGCUAAAAAAGGAAACAUUCAGUUGAUGCAGUUUUUCUUGGAACAAGGAGCAAAUCAUUCACAAAGAACUCCAAAUGAUCAAACUGCUAUUCAUUACGCCGUGCUUUCUGGAAAGCUUGCUGCGGUGCAAUUCCUGCUGAAAAAAGAAGAGUUUUUAGAAAUGAUCAAUUUUACAGAUGACGUAAACAUUACUGCGGCUGGUUAUGCAACACAGAGUGGAAACGUGGAGAUACUCAGAUAUCUGUUGGAUAAUAAUGCGAAGAUGAAAAGUGACACAAAAACGGCCAGACUCAACAUUUUAGAUUGUGCCUAUGGAUAUUUUAAAACUGGCGAGAAUUCUCUUAAAGAAAUUAUUAGGUUUUCUACAAGGGAUGGAAAAAUCCAAAUUUUACAAGAGUUAUUUGAAGACUCGUAUUUCGGUGCGGAUCGUAUAAUGUCGCAGCUGAUCGAAAAAACACCAGACGUCGCCAUGAUGAUUUUUGACCUCUGUGUUUAUCAAGAUGAAUAUCUCACUCACCGUUCUUAUGGUGAAAUGGAAGUAGAAAGAAGAGUGUCGUACUCGUUUUUUCCUUUCAAACGAAACAACCCUGAAGACAAACCUGGCGGCAAGCUUGAAGCUAUCGAAAGUAUGGUUAACUUCAGAAGGGACAACUGUUUGGGUCAUCCACUAGUUUUAAGGUUUUUGAGCCAUAAAAUUAAUUCGUCAAGAAUUCAAAAAUGGUUCUUUUUCAAUAUUCUUCUUUACGCUGCUUUUUUAUUCACCUUGACCGCAUAUGGCACCAUCGAGAGUCAAGGAAUUUACAAUUUGAAAUCACCAGGAAUGAUUGCAUUAUCGCUAAUUAUUUUGAUCUUUUGUGCACUUCAUUUCAUCAAAGAAGUACUUCAGUUUGUUCUAAGUACUGCUAAUUAUAUAAGGGACUUCGAAAAUUACAUCGAAUGGGUGAUAUUCAUCUGCGCUGUCAUUUAUGUGGUGCCUGGAAGUAGUAAGAAGGCGGAAAUACAGAUAGGAGCUGGUGCUAUAUCGGUAUUCCUGGGUUGGAUCAACUUUUCUUUGUUCUUGAAAAGGUUUUCAUUGUUUGGGAUCUACAUCAUCAUGGCGAAAAGAGUUUUUCUCACUGUCUGUGUUACCACUCGUUUUGUUGUUCAUCGUUGCGUUCUCGUUGUCAUUUUCGCUGCUUAUUCCCGUGGAUCAAGGUUUCAAAAAUAUUCCAGUUUCUAUUUUGACAACAUUCGUCAUGAUGACGGGAGAGUUGGACUAUCGGGAUAUCUUUCUCCCAAGCAGACCACUUCACGUUUUGCAGAAAGUUCUUCUUGUGCUAUUUAUUCUUAUGAUCUCAAUCGCUGUAAUGAAUUUAUUGACUGGUCUGGCUGUUGAUGAUAUUAAUGACAUUAUGACUCGUUCGAAAGAGGAGAAAAGAAUUUUUAGGGCGAAGCUUGUCAUUACAUUGGAAAGAAAUCUACGCAAUGUUCCAUUCUUCUCACUGCCUAAAAAUUUAGAUGGCCUGGAGGACUUUCCGGA